This 426-nucleotide ribosomal RNA is filed under the name uncultured Burkholderiales bacterium. RNAcentral's name for it is "partial 16S ribosomal RNA". It matches the Rfam family "Bacterial small subunit ribosomal RNA", at positions 355 to 774 of the family's 1533-position model. The record is from RNAcentral. Lineage: Bacteria; Pseudomonadati; Pseudomonadota; Betaproteobacteria; Burkholderiales.
UGGGGAAUUUUGGACAAUGGGCGCAAGCCUGAUCCAGCCAUGCCGCGUGCGGGAAGAAGGCCUUCGGGUUGUAAACCGCUUUUGUCGGGAAGAAAUGCUCUGGGUUAACACCCUGGGGAGAUGACGGUACCCGAAGAAUAAGCACCGGCUAACUACGUGCCAGCAGCCGCGGUAAUACGUAGGGUGCAAGCGUUAAUCGGAAUUACUGGGCGUAAAGCGUGCGCAGGCGGUCAUACAAGACAGAUGUGAAAUCCCCGGGCUCAACCUGGGAACUGCAUUUGUGACUGUAUGGCUGGAGUACGGUAGAGGGGGAUGGAAUUCCGCGUGUAGCAGUGAAAUGCGUAGAUAUGCGGAGGAACACCGAUGGCGAAGGCAGUCCCCUGGACCUGUACUGACGCUCAUGCACGAAAGCGUGGGGAGCAAACA